CAAAGCGUAGCUUAACACAAAGCAUCUGGUCUACACCCAGAAGAUUUCACAACAACGUGACCACUUUGA
This 69-nucleotide transfer RNA is filed under the name Cheirogaleus major (Greater dwarf lemur). Its description in RNAcentral is "tRNA-Val". The record is from RNAcentral. Lineage: Eukaryota; Metazoa; Chordata; Mammalia; Primates; Cheirogaleidae. RNAcentral also lists the same sequence under 1 other name.